This 354-nucleotide ribosomal RNA is filed under the name Triticum aestivum (bread wheat). Its description in RNAcentral is "partial small subunit ribosomal RNA". Lineage: Eukaryota; Viridiplantae; Streptophyta; Magnoliopsida; Poales; Poaceae. The record is from RNAcentral.
AUGGCACCUUGCAUGCUCAAGGCAAAGCAGGUGCCGAGCAAGUAUUGGGGGGAGGCCGUGCUCACGGCCGUCUUCAUCCUCAACCACUCCUUCACAAGGAGCGUCAGCGGCAAGACGCCUUACGAGGCGUGGUAUGGGAGGAAGCCCGAUGUACACUUCCUCCGCACCUUUGGCUGUGUUGGGCAUGUCAAGACGACGCGUACACAGCUGAAGAAGCUCGACGACAGGAGCACCCCAAUGGUGUUCAUGGGCUAUGAGACGGGCUCUAAGGCGUACAAGAUGUACGACCCCGUCUCAAAGUGUGUGCAUGUCUCGCGCGACGUCAUCUUCGACGAAGAUGCGCGAUGGACUUAG